RNAcentral lists this ribosomal RNA (16 nucleotides) under Giardia muris. RNAcentral describes it as "large subunit ribosomal RNA". The record is from RNAcentral. Lineage: Eukaryota; Fornicata; Diplomonadida; Hexamitidae.
CCGAGCCCCCGAGGGU